UACAGAGGGUGCGAGCGUUGUUCGGAAUUAUUGGGCGUAAAGGGCGCGUAGGCGGUGUUGUAAGUCACCUGUGAAACCUCUGGGCUUAACUCAGAGCCUGCAGGCGAAACUGCAAUGCUGGAGGGUGGGAGAGGUGCGUGGAAUUCCUGGUGUAGCGGUGAAAUGCGUAGAUAUCAGGAGGAACACCGGUGGCGAAGGCGCUCAUCUGGCCCAAUACUGACGCUGAGGCGCGAAAGCUAGGGGAGCAAACGGG
This 253-nucleotide ribosomal RNA is filed under the name uncultured bacterium. Its description in RNAcentral is "partial 16S ribosomal RNA". It matches the Rfam family "Bacterial small subunit ribosomal RNA", at positions 524 to 776 of the family's 1533-position model. The record is from RNAcentral.